AGAGCGGACGCUGGCGGCAGGCCUAACACAUGCAAGUCGAGCGCCCCGCAAGGGGAGCGGCAGACGGGAGAGUAACACGUGGGAACGUACCCUUUGGUUCGGAACAACACAGGGAAACUUGUGCUAAUACCGGAUAAGCCCUUACGGGGAAAGAUUUAUCGCCAAAGGAUCGGCCCGCGUCUGAUUAGCUUGUUGGUGAGGUAACGGCUCACCAAGGCUACGAUCAGUAGCUGGUCUGAGAGGAUGAUCAGCCUCACUGGGACUGAGACACGGCCCAGACUCCUACGGGAGGCAGCAGUGGGGAAUAUUGGACAAUGGGCGCAAGCCUGAUCCAGCCAUGCCGCGUGGAUGAUGAAGGCCCUAGGGUUGUAAAGUCCUUUCGACGGGGAAGAUAAUGACGGUACCCGUAGAAGAAGCCCGGCUAACUCGUGCCAGCAGCCGC
Molecule: ribosomal RNA, 442 nt
Filed under: uncultured bacterium
Lineage: Bacteria
Description: SSU rRNA
Rfam family: Bacterial small subunit ribosomal RNA
Source: RNAcentral